AAUCAACGCUGGCGGCGUGCCUCAGACAUGCAAGUCGAACGAUUAAAGCUCUCUUCGGAGAGUGCAUAGAGUGGCGCACGGGUGAGUAACACGUAAGUAAUCUACCUUCGAGUGGGGAAUAACGUCCGGAAACGGACGCUAAUACCGCAUAAUGCAGCGGCAUCGCAAGAUGACAGUUGUUAAAGGAGCAAUUCGCUUGAAGAGGAGCUUGCGGCAGAUUAGCUAGUUGGUAAGGUAAUGGCUUACCAAGGCUACGAUCUGUAACCGGUCUAAGAGGACGGUCGGUCACACUGACACUGAAUAACGGGUCAGACUCCUACGGAGGCAGCAGUCGGGAAUUUUGGGCAAUGGGCGAAAGCCUGAACCCAGCAACGCCGCGUGAAGGAUGAAGUAUUUCGGUAU
Molecule: ribosomal RNA, 402 nt
Filed under: uncultured bacterium
Lineage: Bacteria
Description: bacterial SSU rRNA
Rfam family: Bacterial small subunit ribosomal RNA
Source: RNAcentral